UCUCACAGCAAAACCCAUAUUUCAGUUCCAUUCUGAUGAAGGAGUGAGUCCCUGGAUUCUAUUCCGUAGUCUCCUCCCCCGCUGCCACGGACCUGAGCCCUAGGACCAUGCCCCAGGACUACCUGACAUGAUGACUCCUUGCUGUCCCCAGUCCACCUGGCCGUGCUGCUGCUCCAGUUUCAACUGAACCGCGGCCCUAGGACCAUGCCCCAGGACUACUUGACAUGAUGACUCCUUGCUGUCCCCAGUCCACCUGGCCGUGCUGCUGCUCCAGUUUCAACUGUUCUGCCUUAUUAUUAUUCGACCAUGCUGGUCAUUUAUGAACAUUUGAACAUCUUGGCCAUGUUCUGUUAUAAUCUCUACCCGGCACAGCCAGAAGAGGACUGGCCACCCCACAUAGCCUGGUUCCUCUCUAGGUUUCUUCCUAGGUUUUGGCUUUUCUAGGGAGUUUUUCCUAGCCACCGUGCUUCUACACCUGCAUUGCUUGCUGUUUGGGGUUUUAGGCUGGGUUUCUGUACAGCACUUUGAGAUAUCAGCUGAUGUACGAAGGGCUAUAUAAAUAAAUUUGAUUUGAUUUGAUUUGAUUUAACAUUGUUAUAAUGAUUAGUGGUGACUUGGUGACUUCACAUUCUGUUAUAAUGAUUAGUGGUGACUUGGUGACUUCACAUUCUGUUAUAAUGAUUAGUGGUGCCUUAGUGACUUCACAUUCUGUUAUAAUGAUCAGUGGUGCCUUGGUGACUUCACAUUCUGUUAUAAUGAUUAGUGGUGCCUUGGUGACAUCACAUUCUGUUAUAAUGAUCAGUGGUGCCUUAGUGACUUCACAUUCUGUUAUAAUGAUCAGUGGUGCCUUGGUGACUUCACAUUCUGUUAUAAUGAUCAGUGGUGCCUUAGUGACUUCACAUUCUGUUAUAAUGAUUAGUGGUGCCUUGGUGACUUCACAUUCUGUUAUAAUGAUCAGUGGUGCCUUAGUGACUUCACAUUCUGUUAUAAUGAUCAGUAGUGACAUCACAUUCUGUUAUAAUGAUUAGUGGUGCCUUGGUGACUUCACAUUCUGUUAUAAUGAUUAGUGGUGCCUUGGUGACUUCACAUUCUGUUAUAAUGAUCAGUGGUGCCUUGGUGACUUCACAUUCUGUUAUAAUGAUCAGUGGUGACAUCACAUUCUGUUAUAAUGAUUAGUGGUGCCUUAGUGACAUCACAUUCUGUUAUAAUGAUUAGUGGUGCCUUGGUGACUUCACAUUCUGUUAUAAUGAUUAGUGGUGCCUUGGUGACUUCACAUUCUGUUAUAAUGAUCAGUGGUGCCUUGGUGACUUCACAUUCUGUUAUAAUGAUCAGUGGUGACAUCACAUUCUGUUAUAAUGAUCAGUGGUGACAUCACAUUAUGUUAUAAUGAUCAGUGGUGCCUUGGUGACAUCACAUUCUGUUAUAAUGAUCAGUGGUGACAUCACAUUAUGUUAUAAUGAUCAGUGGUGCCUUAGUGACAUCACAUUCUGUUAUAAUGAUCAGUGGUGCCUUAGUGACUUCACAUUCUGUUAUAAUGAUCAGUGGUGCCUUAGUGACUUCACAGUCUGUUAUAAUGAUCAGUGGUGACUUAGUGACAUCACAUUCUGUUAUAAUGAUCAGUGGUCCCUUAGUGACUUCACAUUCUGUUAUAGUGAUUAGUGACAUCACAUUCUGUUAUAGUGAUCAGUGGUGCCUUAGUGACUUCACAUUCUGUUAUAGUGAUCAGUGGUGCCUUAGUGACUUCACAUUCUGUUAUAAUGAUCAGUGGUGACAUCACAUUCUGUUAUAAUGAUCAGUGGUGCCUUAGUGACUUCACAUUCUGUUAUAAUGAUCAGUGGUGCCUUGGUGACUUCACAUUCUGUUAUAAUGAUCAGUGACAUCAAAUUCUGUUAUAAUGAUCAGUGGUGUCUUAGUGACAUCACAUUUUGUUAUAAUAAUUAGUGACUUCACAUUCUGUUAUAAUGAUCAGUGGUGUCUUAGUGACAUCACAUUCUGUUAUAAUGAUCAGUGGUGCCUUAGUGACUUCACAUUCUGUUAUAGUGAUCAGUGGUACCUUGGUGACUUCACAUUCUGUUAUAAUGAUGAGUGACUUCACAUUCUGUUAUAAUGAUCAGUGGUGACAUCACAUUCUGUUAUAAUGAUCAGUGGUGACAUCACAUUCUGUUAUAAUGAUCAGUGGUGCCUUAGUCACAUCACAUUCUGUUAUAAUGAUCAGUGGUGCCUUGGUGACUUCACAUUCUGUUAUAGUGAUCAGUGGUGCCUUAGUGACUUCACAUUCUGUUAUAAUGAUCAGUGGUGCCUUAGUCACAUCACAUUCUGUUAUAAUGAUCAGUGGUGCCUUAGUCACAUCACAUUCUGUUAUAGUGAUCAGUGGUGCCUUAGUGACUUCACAUUCUGUUAUAGUGAUCAGUGGUGCCUUAGUGACUUCACAUUCUGUUAUAAUGAUCAGUGGUGCCUUAGUGACUUCACAUUCUGUUAUAAUGAUUAGUGGUGACAUCACAUUAUGUUAUAAUGAUCAGUGGUGCCUUAGUGACAUCACAUUCUGUUAUAAUGAUCAGUGGUACCUUGGUGACAUCACAUUCUGUUAUAAUGAUCAGUGGUGCCUUGGUGACAUCACAUUUUCUUAUAAUGAUUAGUGGUGACAUCACAUUAUGUUAUAAUGAUCAGUGGUGCCUUGGUGACAUCACAUUCUGUUAUAAUGAUCAGUGGUGCCUUGGUGACUUCACAUUCUGUUAUAAUGAUCAGUGGUGCCUUGGUGACAUCACAUUUUCUUAUAAUGAUCAGUGGUGACAUCACAUUCUUUUAUAAUGAUCAGUGGUGCCUUAGUGACUUCACAUUCUGUUAUAAUGAUCAGUGGUGCCUUUGCUGACAUCACAUUCUGUUAUAAUGAUCAGUGGUGCCUUGGUGACAUCACAUUCUCUUAUAAUGAUCAGUGGUGACAUCACAUUCUGUUAUAGUGAUCAGUGGUGCCUUAGUGACUUCACAUUCUGUUAUAAUGAUCAGUGGUGACAUCACAUUCUGUUAUAAUGAUCAGUGGUGCCUUAGUGACUUCACAUUCUGUUAUAAUGAUCAGUGGUGACAUCACAUUCUGUUAUAGUGAUCAGUGGUGCCUUAGUGACAUCACAUUCUGUUAUAAUGAUCAGUGGUGCCUUAGUGACUUCACAUUCUGUUAUAAUGAUCAGUGGUGACUUAGUGACAUCACAUUCUGUUAUAAUGAUCAGUGGUGCCUUAGUGACUUCACAUUCUGUUAUAGUGAUCAGUGGUGCCUUAGUGACUUCACAUUCUGUUAUAAUGAUUAGUGGUGCCUUGGUGACAUCACAUUCUGUUAUAAUGAUUAGUGACAUCACAUUCUGUUAUAAUGAUCAGUGGUGCCUUAGUCACAUCACAUUCUGUUAUAAUGAUCAGUGGUGCCUUAGUGACUUCACAUUCUGUUAUAAUGAUCAGUGGUGCCUUAGUGACUUCACAUUCUGUUAUAAUGAUCAGUGGUGACUUAGUGACAUCACAUUCUGUUAUAAUGAUCAGUGGUGCCUUAGUGACUUCACAUUCUGUUAUAGUGAUCAGUGGUGCCUUAGUGACUUCACAUUCUGUUAUAAUGAUUAGUGGUGCCUUGGUGACAUCACAUUCUGUUAUAAUGAUUAGUGACAUCACAUUCUGUUAUAAUGAUCAGUGGUGCCUUAGUCACAUCACAUUCUGUUAUAAUGAUCAGUGGUGCCUUAGUGACUUCACAUUCUGUUAUAAUGAUCAGUGGUGCCUUAGUGACUUCACAUUCUGUUAUAAUGAUUAGUGGUAUAACAUUCUGUUAUAAUGGUCAAUAGUGGAAAACAGAAAUGUGGCCAAUUUUUGUCUUGUGGAGAAACCAGGAAGUGAAUGAUUUGACCAGGAAGUGAAUGAUUUGACCAGGAAGUGAAUGUGUGAAUGAUUUGAUCCAUGUUGGAUCUGAGCGUGAAUGUGCUUUUCAAAAUGGUCAAUAUCUGUGUCGUCAUUGAUGAGGGGCAAUUUGUUUCAGCUAACGGCACUUUUAAUAAAUGACAAUUAACUGUUUUCCUUUUAGAUGGUUGUGUCAGAAUUGAGACAUUUUAUGAAUCUGUAUAAUUUGUGGUUUUAUCAGAAUGGAGAGUUGUCUUUCUAAUUCAACACGCUGAUAUUGAAGGAGCUGUAAUCAACUGUGGAAGGCAGACGACAGUUGGACCAAAACCACUAAAAGGGUGUAACUGCUCCUUUGUUCCCAUGUGUCUGUCUCCCUGAAUAUACUGUCCCGUGUCUCCCUGAAUAUACUGUCCCGUGUCUCCCUGAAUAUACUGUCCCGUGUCUCCCUGAAUAUACUGUCCCGUGUCUCCCUGAAUAUACUGUCCCGUGUCUCCCUGAAUAUACUGUCCCGUGUCUCCCUGAAUAUACUGUCCCGUGUCUCCCUGAAUAUACUGUCCCGUGUCUCCCUGAAUAUACUGUCCCGUGUCUCCCUGAAUAUACUGUCCCGUGUCUCCCUGAAUAUACUGUCCCGUGUCUCCCUGAAUAUACUGUCCCGUGUCUCCCUGAAUAUACUGUCCCGUGUCUCCCUGAAUAUACUGUCCCGUGUCUCCCUGAAUAUACUGUCCCGUGUCUCCCUGAAUAUACUGUCCCGUGUCUCCCUGAAUAUACUGUCCCGUGUCUCCCUGAAUAUACUGUCCCGUGUCUCCCUGAAUAUACUGUCUCCCUGAAUAUACUGUCCCGUGUCUCCCUGAAUAUACUGUCUCCCUGAAUAUACUGUCCCGUGUCUCCCUGAAUAUACUGUCCCGUGUCUCCCUGAAUAUACUGUCCCGUGUCUCCCUGAAUAUACUGUCCCGUGUCUCCCUGAAUAUACUGUCCCGUGUCUCCCUGAAUAUAGUGUCUCCCUGAAUAUACUGUCCCGUGUCUCCCUGAAUAUACUGUCCCGUGUCUCCCUGAAUAUACUGUCUCCCGUCUCCCUGAAUAUACUGUCUCCCUGAAUAUACUGUCCCGUGUCUCCCUGAAUAUACUGUCUCCCUGAAUAUACUGUCCCGUGUCUCCCUGAAUAUACUGUCCCGUGUCUCCCUGAAUAUACUGUCCCGUGUCUCCCUGAAUAUACUGUCCCGUGUCUCCCUGAAUAUACUGUCCCGUGUCUCCCUGAAUAUACUGUCCCGUGUCUCCCUGAAUAUACUGUCCCGUGUCUCCCUGAAUAUACUGUCCCGUGUCUCCCUGAAUAUACUGUCCUGUCUCCCUGAAUAUACUGUCCCGUGUCUCCCUGAAUAUACUGUCCCGUGUCUCCCUGAAUAUACUGUCCAGUGUCUCCCUGAAUAUACUGUCCAGUGUCUCCCUGAAUAUACUGUCCCGUGUCUCCCUGAAUAUACUGUCCCGUGUCUCCCUGAAUAUACUGUCCCGUGUCUCCCUGAAUAUACUGUCCCGUGUCUCCCUGAAUAUACUGUCCCGUGUCUCCCUGAAUAUACUGUCCCGUGUCUCCCUGAAUAUACUGUCCUGUCUCCCUGAAUAUACUGUCCCGUGUCUCCCUGAAUAUACUGUCCUGUCUCCCUGAAUAUACUGUCUCCCUGAAUAUACUGUCCCGUGUCUCCCUGAAUAUACUGUCCCGUGUCUCCCUGAAUAUACUGUCCUGUCUCCCUGAAUAUACUGUCCCGUGUCUCCCUGAAUAUACUGUCUCCCUGAAUAUACUGUCCCGUGUCUCCCUGAAUAUACUGUCCCGUGUCUCCCUGAAUAUACUGUCCCGUGUCUCCCUGAAUAUACUGUCCAGUGUCUCCCUGAAUAUACUGUCCCGUGUCUCCCUGAAUAUACUGUCCCGUGUCUCCCUGAAUAUACUGUCCCGUGUCUCCCUGAAUAUACUGUCCCGUGUCUCCCUGAAUAUACUGUCCCGUGUCUCCCUGAAUAUACUGUCCCGUGUCUCCCUGAAUAUACUGUCUCCCUGAAUAUACUGUCCCGUGUCUCCCUGAAUAUACUGUCCCGUGUCUCCCUGAAUAUACUGUCUCCCUGAAUAUACUGUCCCGUGUCUCCCUGAAUAUACUGUCCCGUGUCUCCCUGAAUAUACUGUCCCGUGUCUCCCUGAAUAUACUGUCCCGUGUCUCCCUGAAUAUACUGUCCCGUGUCUCCCUGAAUAUACUGUCCCGUGUCUCCCUGAAUAUACUGUCCCGUGUCUCCCUGAAUAUACUGUCCCGUGUCUCCCUGAAUAUACUGUCCCGUGUCUCCCUGAAUAUACUGUCCCGUGUCUCCCUGAAUAUACUGUCCCGUGUCUCUGCUGUUUAUUCCUGAUAUCUCUUUUUUUUCUUCUUCAAUAAAUUCAAUAAUGAUGGAAAAUGUA
Molecule: long non-coding RNA, 6298 nt
Organism: Oncorhynchus masou masou (cherry salmon)
Lineage: Eukaryota; Metazoa; Chordata; Actinopteri; Salmoniformes; Salmonidae
Exons: 2
Source: RefSeq, a predicted model, not a curated record